CUACGGGGCGCUCCAGUGAGGAAUAUUGCACAAUGGGGGGAACCCUGAUGCAGCAACGCCGCGUGGAGGAUGACGCAUUUCGGUGUGUAAACUCCUUUUAUAUGUCAAGGAAAUGACGGUAGCAUAUGAAUAAGCACCGGCUAACUCCGUGCUAGCAGCCGCGGUAAUACGGAGGGUGCAAGCGUUACUCGGAAUCACUGGGCGUAAAGGACGCGUAGGCGGGUUGGAAAGUCAGGUGUGAAAUCCUACAGCUUAACUGUAGAACUGCACUUGAAACUUCUAAUCUAGAGUAUGGGAGGGGGAGAUGGAAUUAGUGGUGUAGGGGUAAAAUCCGUAGAUAUCACUAGGAAUACCUAAAGCGAAGGCGAUCUCCUGGAACAUUACUGACGCUAAGGCGUGAAAGCGUGGGGAGCAAACAGGAUUAGAUACCCGGGUAGUC
RNAcentral lists this ribosomal RNA (439 nucleotides) under uncultured bacterium. RNAcentral's name for it is "partial 16S ribosomal RNA". It matches the Rfam family "Bacterial small subunit ribosomal RNA", at positions 339 to 795 of the family's 1533-position model. The record is from RNAcentral.